RNAcentral lists this ribosomal RNA (253 nucleotides) under uncultured bacterium. RNAcentral describes it as "partial 16S ribosomal RNA". It matches the Rfam family "Bacterial small subunit ribosomal RNA", at positions 524 to 776 of the family's 1533-position model. The record is from RNAcentral.
UACGUAGGUGGCAAGCGUUGUCCGGAAUUAUUGGGCGUAAAGCGCGCGCAGGCGGCCUUUUAAGUCUGAUGUGAAAGCCCACGGCUCAACCGUGGAAGGUCAUUGGAAACUGAAAGGCUUGAGUACAGAAGAGGAAAGCGGAAUUCCACGUGUAGCGGUGAAAUGCGUAGAGAUGUCAUAGAACACCGAUUGCGAAGGCAGCUCACAAAACUGUAACUGACGCUGAGGCUCGAAAGUGUGGGGAUCAAACAGG